RNAcentral lists this ribosomal RNA (525 nucleotides) under Triticum aestivum (bread wheat). Its description in RNAcentral is "partial small subunit ribosomal RNA". The record is from RNAcentral. Lineage: Eukaryota; Viridiplantae; Streptophyta; Magnoliopsida; Poales; Poaceae.
AUGAGUGACAACGAGCUAAUCUCCAUGUCCUGGAACGUUCGUGGCUUGAACUGUCCGGAGAAACGCACAGCCAUUAGGGAUGUAGUUCAAGCUAACCGCGUUGCAUUCCUAGCAUUGCAAGAAACGAAGGUGGAAAUUUGGUCUUCUUCCAUGGAUACGGAGGUCGGCGGUGCGAUCCUGCAGGGAUGUGUAGUGCUGCCGGCAAACGGGAUGAGAGGUGGUGCAACGAUCUUCUGGGAUAAGCUAGUAGUCGAUGUAGUUUCACAUCAUUUAGGCAGUUUCUCCAUUACGGCUAGAGUAGAGCCCAAGUUAGCAGGUGACCCCUUCUGGCUUACCACGGUCUAUGGGCCGACAGACGACGCGCAGAAGGAUAGUUUCCUGGCUAAGCUAGCAGCUGCUGCACCACCGGCUGGUGAACUAUGGGUGAUCAAUGGUGAUUUCAACAUGAUCUAUCAAGCGAGUGAUAAGAGUAACAGCAACAUCAACAGGAGGAUGAUGGGCAAGUUCCGAAGAGCUUUGGACUAG